AGUACAAAAAACUGCUCCAGCCAUUGGAACUGCAAAGUGCAGCUCAUACAUUGCUGGAACAUUAGGGGCCAGAGCAGCAACCUGAUUAAAUUUAUACAGUCUCAAGACAUCAAAACAGUUGUGACUUGAUAAGGGUAAUUAUAUACAAAAGAAAAGGGAGAAAAAACCAGAAGGUGAAUCCUUGUCAGAAUCAAAGUAUUGGUGUGACCUGGAGCAGCCUGUGGAAAGCAGCGGACAAACCCCACUGCUGGAAAAAAAAAUAAAAUAAGCAGAAGAACAGA
Molecule: long non-coding RNA, 281 nt
Organism: Populus trichocarpa (black cottonwood)
Lineage: Eukaryota; Viridiplantae; Streptophyta; Magnoliopsida; Malpighiales; Salicaceae
Exons: 2
Source: RefSeq, a predicted model, not a curated record